AUUGAACGCUGGCGGCAUGCUUUACACAUGCAAGUCGAACGGCAGCGGGGGCUUCGGCCUGCCGGCGAGUGGCGAACGGGUGAGUAAUGCAUCGGAACGUGCCCAUGUCGUGGGGGAUAACGUAUCGAAAGGUACGCUAAUACCGCAUACGUCCUGAGGGAGAAAGCGGGGGAUCUUCGGACCUCGCGCGAUUGGAGCGGCCGAUGUCGGAUUAGCUAGUAGGUGAGGUAAAGGCUCACCUAGGCGACGAUCCGUAGCGGGUCUGAGAGGAUGAUCCGCCACACUGGGACUGAGACACGGCCCAGACUCCUACGGGAGGCAGCAGUGGGGAAUUUUGGACAAUGGGCGCAAGCCUGAUCCAGCCAUGCCGCGUGAGUGAAGAAGGCCU
RNAcentral lists this ribosomal RNA (388 nucleotides) under uncultured bacterium. RNAcentral's name for it is "bacterial SSU rRNA". It matches the Rfam family "Bacterial small subunit ribosomal RNA", at positions 28 to 417 of the family's 1533-position model. The record is from RNAcentral.